UUGCGGCCCAGGGCCCUACCUGUGUCCCUGUUCCUUCAACCACCCUUGGAUCCGGCCAGUCCAAGGUCCCGGCGGCCAGGCGCAGGGAGAGCCCAGGACAAGAGGAGGCACCCGAAGGAGGCCCCCCCGGAGCAUGUGAGGUCAGGGCCUUGGGCUCACGAGGUCAGGGUUCACACCCCAGCCUCCCCAGCUGCCCUGGAGCAGUCGACCUCUCCAGACCUCGGCUUUGUCAUCUGAGGCUAAGAGAACCAGUGCUCUGAGGUCUCAGGUCUCGGGACACGCCAGCCAUCACCACGGCUGGGCCAGGGGCCCUUGCUUGGUGCCUCUGUCACCUUCACAAGGACCUGUGAGCUUCGCACGUCCUCCCCGCCUCCCAGGUGCGGUGACCAGAGCUUUACAGGCUUGAUGUUUUUAGCGUCUUGCUGGUGUCUAGUGGCAGGGACUGAACGGAAACCAUGUCCCCCAGACCACAAAGAGCUCGGACCUGCACGGAAGAACUGAGACAGGAUUUUAGGUGUGAGGCCAGACCCUAGGGUGUCUUCCAGGCCCAGCUUUGAGGCUGUCUAUACCCAGACAGUAUCCAGUCUUGUCGGCAGAGGGUCAGAGAGGUUCAGCGAUUUGCCUGGUGUCACACAGCUUGUCACCACCACACCAAUGGGCUCACUCCUGAUGGGGCGGACUCAGGGCAGGGGGCAGCUUCCUGUCCCCAGGGCCUGCUCCGUCUCUGCGUGGGGGGACCUGCGUGCCAAUCUUAAUGGCGGAUGGAGAGCACAGCUGGCAGGGAAGGGCAGGGCAGCCUCUGGCAGGGCUGGCGAGGGCUCUGCUUUCCCCCUGCUGCUCCUCAAGCCCUCCAGAUGAUUCUAACGUGCAGCCACAGUGAAGAACCUGUGGUUCCCGUGCUCUUUAAAUAACUGUCGGGUAUUGAACGGUGGCAUUUCAAAAGCACGGAGAGGCUGACUGCAAGGGCGGAGGGGAGGGGGCAUUUAUUGAGCAGCGGCUACGUCCCCGUCCCCGGCGAUGCUCUGGGGACCCUGGCCCAGGUGCGUGUUAGCCUAGCAAAGUGGACAUGAGACCCAGAGCAACGAGGUGGAGCCCCAGGGGGAGAAUGUGACCCUGCUUUCUGGUACCUUCUAGCAAGAGCAAGACCCAGACCCGUGGCCAUUUCCUCUCCCUCCCUCCAUCCGCUGAGUUAAUGCAAACUGGCAGGGGUGGGGAUGGUGGGGGGGAGGGGGGGCUUCGGGGCACCACUGGCAGCCCGCCCGGGCCGCCCACACCCCCUGCCCCCGCAGCCCCGGGCAGGAAACCACCAACGUGCUCAUGAAAGAGGCGGGCGCAGCUGCUGUUAACAGGUGAGCCCUCCGCGCGCUGGCCUCUCCCAGGGCCUCCUGGAGAAAUCGGUAAUGAAGUGCAGCUGUGAACUCCGGUUUUGGGUCAGAAAGGCAAUUUCUCAUCUCUCCUCACAGCAAUUGAGUCGAAAAUCCGGGAGCUGUUUGCCUCUCUGGUGCCCCCGCCCCUGGGCCCUGGCGGCCGGAGCUCGGGUCUGGGAGGCGGGCAUCAAUAUUGCCGCUGUCAGAGGCAGGUGGCCGGGCGCGGGAGGGAGCGGCCCCGCGGGGCUGGCGAGGUGGGAGCGGGGAGCAGCUGGCCGGGGUGCGCUGGGGGAUCCGAAGGCUGUUUUUCCUCUCGUUUUAAUUGGUCUUUGUGACUCUAAUGGUGCCCACUUCACCUCGUGGCUGCGUGCUGGCCGGGGGCUCCCACGGCGCACCCGUUGGAGGCUUUGGGGAGGCGCCCGGCAGCUGUUGCCGCCUCACCGAUGCUCCUGGUGGUGCUGGGCCUGGAAGGGCCUGGGAAACAAAGCUCAGGGUGCCAUGGGGUUGGGGAGCCCUGACUUCCAGAGCAGGCCCCGUCAUGCCACCUUCACCGCAGCGUCACCCGAGCAGCCGCUUUUCCUAAGGCCGGAUGACGGGAGAAACGCUGGCAAGUAAGAUUGAUUGGAGACGUGAGCCCAGCAGGGACCCCUCUCCUCUCUCAGGAAUAGGCUUUGGAAGCCUCAUUGCCUUAGUUCCGCCCGGCUAAGAGUCACUCGCUGAACACGGAGCACCUGGGCUGAGUGGUUUGGGUCCGGGCUCUGGGGCCCCACGUGCCCGGCUCUGCAUUGCCGCUGUGUGACCUUGGAGUGUGGGCUUGACUUCGCUGAACCUGCCUCCUGCAGAAUGUAGCAGUGGCACUUGAAGGGCCGCUUCGAGGAUCCGAUGGUGACAACACGUGGAAAGACAGAAAAGUGGGCCACGAUGCUGCAGGUCUGUUUUCUGUCCCUCUGUCUUCGCCUUUGCUGGACGUCGUAGGAGGCUUUCAGCAGGAAAGAGAGACCAUUGGCCUGUGUGAGCUCUUUGAGGGCACCGAUCCCGUCGGGUGAGCCCCAUUCGUGGGACCUCAUCUAACCUACCACCUUCCAAAUGCCCCCCCUCCAAAGACCAGGGCACGGGGCGGGGGGGAUAGGGCUUCACCGGCCCAGCAGGGGCACAAACACUCAGUCUGCAACAGCAUCUCACGACGCUCUUGUGAAGCUUGUGGUGUCAUUGUCGCGUCUGGUGGCUGAUGACAUGGGAGCCCUGGGCUGGUGCUGCCAGCCGCCUCCCUGCAGGCCAUGCAGCCCACGAGGCCAUGGAAGAGGCCCUCCCUGCCUUUCUCCCCCUUUGGGGUCCCUGCAAGACCGGGGCCCACGUGCCCUAAGGAAGACGAGUGCGCGCCCGCGGACCCGUCUCCCAGCACCAGGUCCGACCUUGGCGGCAGAUGCCUCUUUGUCCGCGCCGAGCCCCAUGGCCAGCUCGAAUAAUUGGAUUUUAAUAAAACGGAUGGGAGCGCGGGAGCAGUUCACCACCCUGGCCUGUGCCGAGGCCCUGCAAUUAAACCGAUUAUGUCUUGAGAGUCAAGCUGUCUGACUCGAGGCCCUAAUUUGGCAGCGCUGGCCAGCUCUGCCAGCGCGGUUGUUUAUUUAUUUACCCGACUUUCGCAGGCUGGGACACGCUGGGGGCCGGGGUGAUUAACGUGGGGUGGUGAGCCGGGCUCUGGGUCCCUGUGUUCCCACCCUGGCCACCCACCGCUCCCUCCUCUGUGCACAGCAUCCGGGUCCUGGCAGCUCAGGGGACCCCUGGAGACUUAAAACACGGAGGCCGGGACCUCCCCUCCCCCAGGGUGUGACAUAGCUACCUUGGGCUGUUGUCUGGCCCCCGGGGAGUUUUCAAAUCUCUCCAGGUGAGCGUGACAGGCAGCCCCAACCUAAGGCGACAGAUCCUUCUGGAAACCCAGAUUGCAUGUGGCCUCCUUCCCUGGACCCACUGGGCUCCCAUGGGCGCAAGAUGCACCCCCAGGAAGGCCCGUGGUCGUCUCCUCCUUACGGGGUCCCGGGGAAGGGUCUGGACACAGGGACCCUCCUACAGACGCUGUCAGAAACAUCUGGUGGGGCGAUGCUGGUGUUUUUCCAGGUCUGGAGUUUGCAUUUUCUCUCCCCGUUUAUUUUCUUAAUAAACACCCAGUGCCUCCUUUCCGCCAGCUGCUCUGUUGGUGCUGGGCGGGUGAGGACCCCUGGCUGAGGGCAGGAGGCUGCUCCGUGGCUCCCCUGCCCUGCGGGCAUCAAGGGUCCUGGCUGGAGUCCUUUGCCUUCUCUGGGGGUGUGUUCAGCAAUCCCCCCCACACCAUGUCCCCUCGAUUGUGUGUUUUGGGCUUCAUGCCCCCGCCAAGAGGUGGCUGAGUGCACCUGGUGGUUCUGGGCUCAGACCCCAGGUCAGGACCUCGGACGAGGCACAAACUCCUGAGCCCGGUCUGGUAUGUGGAGGCGGUGGGUAAGCAACCCCAAGGGAGCCCCUCUGGUUCCCACAUUGGAAGAAGGUUCUGGAUUUUGGCGUCAUCAGCAUCACUGAUCGGGGGGGGAAGGGAAGCCGUUUGGGGGAGCUCUUCUGUGAAGCCGUGGGGGUGGGGGCCCUGGGCAGCUCGCCCACCCUCUGCGCCCGUGGCCUUCCGCAGCCCCUCCUCACAGGCUGCGGGGACAGCUCCGUGCGCGGACGCAUGUGCAGGAAGGCCCGGCCAGAGCGCGCGGCAAGCGCCAGGUGGUGGGUAAUUGUGAUGAAUAGGGGUGGAGGUGGCACGCAGGCUGGCAGCCAGCCAUGGAGGGGCUGCCUGGGGAGGGCUGGGCCCCGAGCUCAGGUGGGAGAGCAGC
This is a non-coding RNA of Sus scrofa (pig), 4213 nucleotides long. The record is from RefSeq and is a predicted model, not a curated record. Lineage: Eukaryota; Metazoa; Chordata; Mammalia; Artiodactyla; Suidae.